Molecule: long non-coding RNA, 5262 nt
Filed under: Phoenix dactylifera (date palm)
Lineage: Eukaryota; Viridiplantae; Streptophyta; Magnoliopsida; Arecales; Arecaceae
Description: long non-coding RNA (PDAC_LNC002559)
Source: RNAcentral
GGUGCCGAAUCAAUCAAAUACAUUUCAUGUCAAAAGCAAAUAUUCUCUAUCAAAACCAUACAAUAUUCUAAAAGUAGACAUAUAACACCUUGCAUCAAUUUCGUAAUCAAGAAUAAUGCAAUUCGUAAAAUAGAUAUAGAUUGCUGAUAAAUCUAGAAAAGAGGUUACAUUAUUUACCUUGCGAACGCGAUCCACAACAAAUCCAAUUAAUUCCUGCAAAUUCCUCGCAGAACCUAAUAUUCAAAAAUCAUAUUUUUCUUUUAAAAUUCAUCACAACAUAUGUAUACAAAGACUUAAAUUUUAAUAUCCUCCCAUGGCUGGUCCUGCAGGAGUCCCUAGCACCCCGAGUUUGGGUUCAUACCCGUAAACCACCCCCUUUCUUUAUUCAUUUCAUUUUUUUUCUUUUAUUUUUCUUUAUUUUUCUUUCUUCUUUUCUCUUUCCUUUUUCCUUCUUUUGUUUUUCUUCUUUCUUCUUUUUUCUCCCGACUCCCCUCUUCUCCUUCGACGAAACAGGGGAUUUGUGAUCCCCUGCCACCCCCCUUCUUCUUCCCUCUCAGUCAGACUCUGGGGCGACCAUGGUGGCCGGCCCCGACGGCUCUUCUUCGGUGGACUCAAAGGAGAAGGAGAAGGAGCCCUAAAACAGGGGCUCCUUCUUCUUCGGGAUGGAUCCCUCCAUCCUGUUGCCUCACGUGCGCCACACGUGAGGCCAAAACUUGGAACUGGGCCAGUCAAAUGGACCGGGCCCAGUUCCAGGGUCUAACAUCCCCCCUCCGAAAAAAAAAAUUUGUCGUCGAAAUUUGCAUACCUGCUGUUUCAAAAAGUUGAGGGUAUUUCUGCUUCAUCUCAUUUUUCAGUUUCCAGGUAGCUUCUCUUUCUGAAUGGUGGCUCCACUGCACCUUGACAUAAGGUAUAACACGAUGUCUCAAAACUUGAUCUUUUUUUGUCCACUAUCCGCACUGGAAGCUCCUUAUAUGAUAGAUCUUCUCUAACUUGUAAAGGCUUAAGCUCCGUGACAUUACUUGGGUCUGGUAUAUAUUUCUUCAACAUCGAGACAUGAAAAACAUCGUGUACACCAGCCAGAAAAGGCGGCAGGGCAAGUCUGUAAGCCACCUUACCAAUUCUUUCCAAGAUCUCGAACGGACCAACAAAUCUGGGAUUCAAUUUUUCUCGAAUACCGAAUCUUGUAACUCCCUUUGUAGGUGAUAUUUUAAGAAAUACAUAAUCACCAACUUGAAAUUCUAAUUUUCGUCUUCUAUUAUCCGCAUAACUCUUCUGUCUACUUUGUGGAGUCCGAAGGCGAUCUCUGAUUAGCCAAAUUUUCUCAACUGUCUGUCGUACAAGUUCAGGGUCCAACAAUUUUCGUUCACCAAUAUCAUCCCAACAAAUUGGCGAACGACAUUUUCUUCCGUAUAAGGCUUCAUAAAGCACCAUCUGUAUUCUACUCUGAUAAUUGUUGUUAUAUGCAAAUUCUAUCAGAGGUAGAUGCUCAUCCCAAGAACCCUUCAUAUCUAUGACACAAGCUCUCAACAUGUCCUCGAGAAUCUGAAUGGUCCUCUCAGACUGGCCAUCGGUCUGAGGGUGAAAGGCAGUACUAAAAAAUAACUUUGUCCCCAAAGCCUUAUGCAAGCUUUUCCAAAAUUAUGAUACAAAUCUAGUAUCUCGAUCAGAUACAAUGGAUACUGGAAUACCGUGCAGUCUCACAAUCUCUUUAAUGUAUAAUUUAGCUAGCCUUUGCAGACCGAACCCAACUUUGAUAGGUAAAAAGUGUGCUGAUUUUGUUAGCCUAUCCACUAUCACCCACACGGCAUCAUUAGAACUGGAAGUCUUUGGCAAUCCUAUUACAAAGUCCAUGGAAAUUUGUUCCCACUUCCAUAUUGGAAUGUCAAGAGGCUGAAGCGGCCCUGCUGGUCUUUGGUGUUCAGCUUUAAACGAAUUGAGCAAUUUCUCUUUUCAUGUUGUUCCACCAAUACAAUUUUUUUAAAUCUGUAUACAUCUUAGUUUCUUCCGAGUGCACUGUAUAUCCAGACCGAUGGGCUUCUUUAAGAAUUUCUUGUUUAAUUUCUAAAUCCAUAGGUACACAAAUUCUAUUCCGAUACCUCAAAGAUCCAUCCUCAUGUAUCCCGAAUUUAGAUAUAUUUUCUGCUUCUACUGACUCCCGAAUCUUCAAUAACUGCUGGUCAUCAUCCUGAGCUGCCUUGAUCCUCUAUAUGAGUGUCGGCUGAACCUGCAUAUAAGCCAAUUGAGUCCCCGAGCCAAGUACUCGAAUCUCUAAUUCAAAUUUCCUCACAUCUUCCAAAAUAUGUCGUUGGCUGGUAAUCAAAGUGGCCAUAUUUCCUAUUGACUUUCUGCUUAAAGCAUCUGCAACAACAUUAGCUUUUCCAGGAUGAUAAUUAAUUCUUAGAUCAUAGUCCUCCAACAGUUCCAGCCAUCUUCUUUAUCUCAAAUUCAGUUCCUUCUGGGUAAAUAUAUAUUUCAAACUCUUGUGAUCUGUAAACACCUCGCAUCGUACUCCGUAAAGAUGAUGUCUCCAAAUUUUGAGAGCAAAAAUCACAGCCGCUAGCUCCAAAUCAUGAGUAGGAUAAUUUUGCUCAUAAUAUUUUAAUUGUCUGGAGGCAUAGGCCACUACCUUACCAUGCUGCUCACUCUAAUUCAAACCACCAAAUUUUUUUUUUUUGAAUUCACUAAUAACUUUUUUUUUCAAAAUACUACCUUGUAUUUUGAACUAAAGAGAUCCAAAAUUUUAAUUUCCAAGUAAAGCCCAAAAAGAACUUUUGAUUUCGUCCUCUAACUUCCCCCGAGUACAUCCAUCUAGACUGAUCCUCGAGUCAAUUGAUACGUUCAAAAACACCAUAUAGGCUAGUUACUAUAAUUCAAAAUAAAUUGAAUCUUAUUUUUUUUAUUUUAUUUUAUUUUUAUCAACUCAACUAGACGAUUUCAGGUCAAACUUUCAUAAGUAAAAACAACCAAAAGAAUUUUCUCAACACUCCACCAAGAUAGAACAUCUUAAAUGAAUAGAUAUAAGUAAAAUCAACUCAGUCAUCUCUCCUAGAGUUUCCUUCAUCGAGAUCUUUGAUAUUUAUCAAAAAUAUUCCAUCAUAACCAUGCAAGCCUCUAAAAUUCAAAUUCUUUAGGCAAAUCUAGAUUUUAUAAGCAGCCACAACAAUAGUGACAAAAAUUCUAGUUCAACUUAUAAAUCCAAACUUUGAAUUGAAGUUUAAUAAAAUCACGUAGUAUCCGAUAGAGAUCUAUUAUUUGGUUCCAAAUACGACAAUUAAAAUUAUUAAUGAUUAUUCCAAGAUAAAUACUUUACAAUCUCCAAUAAAAUCAAUUCUUCAAUAAGAAAACAGACCUAUUUGUAAUAUCACCCUGCACAUUUUUCUUCUACAUGCUAGUUUCAUUCCUAAUCCACAUAUAGGUUCAGACCUCAAAUAAUAUUCCAAUCAAGCAUUGUAAAAAGGUUUCAUAGCCCAAAUCUUAAACAACUUCAUAUAAAUGGAUCUUAAUUUGCUUCUAAAAAAAUUAUCUUCAAAAUUAAGCAAUAUCAUAGUAUACCUCCAUAUCAAUUUUUGAGUUUACAAGUUCACUUAAAUAAUAAAUAAUCACAAUGCAUGAUAAUAUUCCAUGGCCAAUCCUUGUGCACUUAAUUUAGAUCCAAAUCUAACUAAUUAUAACUUGAUUCAUAUAUUGCCCAACCUUCCAUAAUGUAUCAAACCUCAUAAGUAACCUUCUCAUACAUAAUCAAUCACAAAGCUUAAUAGAAAAUCUUGAAAGUAGCUUACAAUGCAAUUAGCAUAGAUUCACAUCCAAUGCCUUUAGUGUUUACCCACCUACACUCAUCCUAUGUCAGAUUCUUUGUCUUAGAUGUUAUCCACUUAUGCUUUGAUACCACUUAAGUUGUCACGCCCCCGAUCCGAAAUCGUGAGCUGGGGGUCGCGUCAACCGCCGCACACCCGUAGGAAACUCUCCCCACGAGCAAGCAAGGCAUCUUCACCAAACAUCUCAAUUAUAAAAGUCUAAAAUAAUUUAACUAAACAAAAUGCAAUCUUAUUCCAUCGACUAACUCAAGUCAUAGGAUCUUACAGUUCAAAAUACGCAGCGGAACAAUAAUUUACCAACAUGCAGAACCUAGUUCUUAAAAUAACAAAAUCUUGCAAUGUCCAGCAAUCAUAAUAAAUGUCCAAGAUAACAGAUCAACUUAAAUAACCCUAAUCUAAGAUAACUUGUGCCACAUUUUUUCUAGUCGCUCUUCCAUUUUGGAAUCCCAAUAGACUAGUUCUCAAAAUCUGUAAAACAAUUAGAAAUUGUAUAAUGAGCUAAACAGCCCAAUAAGUAAUGAACACUCUAACUAGAUAAAUCAAGCAAUAAUAUGUAGAAAAUAAAUAUAUAUGCAAUUCCAAGGUACAGGUCAAAUAUUUCUUAAAUUCUUAAGAUUCUUUUCAUGGUUUUGAGAUUCUUUUACAUAUUCAAUUUAUCUUGUCGAUCCUGGACUAUGACCACAUGUUCCCUGUGGUAGGAUCAUCAACACCAACUAAUCUUUUUGCAGUGAGUCCUUCAGGACAGUCAAUUGCCAACGUAUCUGCCCCUAUUGGCGGGGUCCUCAUCAUAGCCAGGUCGAAGUUCAAUUAGUUCUCUAUUUCACAAUUCAGUCAUGAAAACAUGCAGUGUCAAAACCAAAUAUCGUUCAUAUAUCAAUUUCUCUCAAUUUAUCAGAUUCAACUUAAUAGCCAGGAACUAUGACCACAUGUUCCCUGUGUCAGGGUUAUAUCACCGACUAUUCUUCUUGCGAUACCAAUGUAUUAGCCCUCAUUGGCAAAGUCCUCAACAUAGCCCGACUGCAAGUCUGAAUCUAUUUCAAGUCAUUAUCUUUUCUUACUUUAUGUUCAGUGUUCCAGAUCAAAAAUACGGUGCCGAAUCAAUCAAAUACAUUUCAUGUCAAAAGCAAAUAUGCUCUAUCAAAACCAUACAAUAUUCUAAAAGUAGACAUAUAACACCUUGAUCAAUUUCAUAAUCAAGAAUAAUGCAAUUUGUAAAAUAGAUAUAGAUUGCUGAUAAAUCUAGAAAAGAGGUUACAUUACUUACCUUGUGAAUGCGAUUCACAACAAAUCCAAUUAAUUCCGCAAAUCUCUCGCAGAACCUAAUAUUCAAAAAUCAUAUUCUUCUUUUAAAAUUCAUCACAACAUAUGUAUACAAAGACUUAAAUUUUAAUAUCCUCCCAUGGCUAGCCCUGCAGGAGUGCCUAGCACCCCGAGUUUGGGUUCAUAC